Molecule: ribosomal RNA, 610 nt
Filed under: uncultured archaeon
Lineage: Archaea
Description: bacterial SSU rRNA
Rfam family: Archaeal small subunit ribosomal RNA
Source: RNAcentral
CGGCUCAGUAACACGUCGGUAACCUGCCCUAUGGUCAGGGAUAGCUUCGCGAAAGUGAGGGUAAGACCUGAUAUGGAAUAAUUCCUGGAAAGGAACUUUCCUUAAACUCGUGCCGUAGGAUGGGCCGGCGGCGGAUUAGGUAGUUGGCGGUGUAAUGGACCACCAAGCCGAAGAUCCGUACGGGCCAUGAGAGUGGUAGCCCGGAGAGGGACACUGAGAUACUGGUCCCAGCCCCACGGGGUGCAGCAGGCGCGAAAACUUUCCAAUGCACGAAAGUGUGAGAAGGGGAUCCCAAGUGCUCAACAUAGUUGGGCUUUUGCCAAGUGCAAAUAGCUUGGCGAAUAAGGGGUGGGCAAGACUGGUGCCAGCCGCCGCGGUAACCCCAGCGCCCCAAGCGGGAAUCACGAUUAUUGGGUCUAAAGCGUUCGUAGCAGGUUCUGUAAAUCUUUUGUGAAAUCGGCAGGCUUAACUUGUCGGCGUGCAGGGGACACUGCAGAACUCGAGACCGGGAGAGGUUAGAAGUAUUCCUUGGGUACCGGUAAAAUGGGUUAAUCCAAGGAGGACUACCAAUGGCGAAGGCAUCUGACCAGAACGGUUCUGACUGUGAGGA